Molecule: ribosomal RNA, 547 nt
Filed under: uncultured Bifidobacterium sp.
Lineage: Bacteria; Bacillati; Actinomycetota; Actinomycetes; Bifidobacteriales; Bifidobacteriaceae
Description: partial 16S rRNA
Source: RNAcentral
GGUGUUCUUCCCGAUAUCUACACAUUCCACCGUUACACCGGGAAUUCCAGUCUCCCCUACCACACUCUAGCCUGCCCGUACCCGGCGCAGAUCCACCGUUAAGCGAUGGACUUUCACACCAGACGCGACAAACCGCCUACGAGCUCUUUACGCCCAAUAAUUCCGGAUAACGCUUGCACCCUACGUAUUACCGCGGCUGCUGGCACGUAGUUAGCCGGUGCUUAUUCGAAAGGUACACUCACUUGCGCUUGCUCCCUAACAAAAGCGGUUUACAACCCGAAGGCCGUCAUCCCGCACGCGGCGUCGCUGCAUCAGGCUUGCGCCCAUUGUGCAAUAUUCCCCACUGCUGCCUCCCGUAGGAGUCUGGGCCGUAUCUCAGUCCCAAUGUGGCCGGUCGCCCUCUCAGGCCGGCUACCCGUCGUAGGCUUGGUAGGCCAUUACCCCACCAACUACCUGAUAGGACGCGACCCCAUCCCAUACAGAUAAAUCUUUCCCACAAUCACAUGUGAUCAUGUGGAGCAUACGGCAUUACCACCCGUUUCCAGGA